This 457-nucleotide ribosomal RNA is filed under the name uncultured bacterium. Its description in RNAcentral is "bacterial SSU rRNA". It matches the Rfam family "Bacterial small subunit ribosomal RNA", at positions 335 to 783 of the family's 1533-position model. The record is from RNAcentral.
ACUCCUACGGGAGGCAGCAGUGGGGAAUAUUGCACAAUGGGCGCAAGCCUGAUGCAGCCAUGCCGCGUGUAUGAAGAAGGCCUUCGGGUUGUAAAGUACUUUCAGCAGUGAGGAAGGUGGGUAUGUUAAUAGCAUAUUCUAUUUGUACGUUAGCUGCAGAAGAAGCACCGGCUAACUCCGUGCCAGCAGCCGCGGUAAUACGGAGGGUGCGAGCGUUAAUCGGAAUUACUGGGCGUAAAGCGCAUGCAGGUGGUUUGUUAAGUCAGAUGUGAAAGCCCGGGGCUCAACCUCGGAAUUGCAUUUGAAACUGGCAAACUAGAGUACUGUAGAGGGGGUUAGAAUUUCAGGUGUAGCGGUGAAAUGCGUAGAGAUCUGAAGGAAUACCGGUGGCGAAGGCGGCCCCUGGACAGAUACUGACACUCAGAUGCGAAAGCGUGGGAGCAAACGAGGAUUAGAU